RNAcentral lists this small nucleolar RNA (107 nucleotides) under Theobroma cacao (cacao). RNAcentral's name for it is "Plant small nucleolar RNA R71". It matches the Rfam family "Plant small nucleolar RNA R71". Rfam says of the family: R71 is a member of the C/D box family of snoRNAs containing the C (UGAUGA) and D (CUGA) box motifs. Multiple nearly identical copies of this snoRNA have been identified in Arabidopsis, and it is thought to function as a 2'-O-ribose methylation guide for 18S ribosomal RNA. Lineage: Eukaryota; Viridiplantae; Streptophyta; Magnoliopsida; Malvales; Malvaceae. The record is from Rfam by way of RNAcentral.
AAUCCAUGGUAUGGGCAUCUCCUUAAUAACUACUUGAAUCUUUCUCGUGCCUCAAACAAGGACUCUACAUCAAACUGCUGGAAAGAUGUGGUCUCAUUUCUUAGCUU